Molecule: long non-coding RNA, 274 nt
Organism: Teleopsis dalmanni
Lineage: Eukaryota; Metazoa; Arthropoda; Insecta; Diptera; Diopsidae
Exons: 3
Source: RefSeq, a predicted model, not a curated record
AAAAAAUCAGGCAAAAUGUAAACAUAGAUCAACAAGACUUGGAUAUAUCAGGACAGAUGAUGGAUAAGAACUCACAAGUUUCAAAAAACAAAACAAUUGGGAAUAUGUGGACUGAGAGCGGUGAGCAGUUAUUUAUAUUGGCCACAUAAUGAAGAAACACCCAGAAAAAAAGAAACACGGUUGAUGAAAAGACGCUAGAAAGAGUUGAUAGACUAAUCAAUUUUAAAGAUGGAAAGAGGAUAUCCGCACGAAAAGACCAACGAACAUAGUAACU